UAGGGAAUCUUCCACAAUGGGCGAAAGCCUGAUGGAGCAACGCCGCGUGUGUGAUGAAGGGCUUCGGCUCGUAAAACACUGUUGUAAGAGAAGAAUGACAUUGAGAGUAACUGUUCAAUGUGUGACGGUAUCUUACCAGAAAGGAACGGCUAAAUACGUGCCAA
Molecule: ribosomal RNA, 164 nt
Filed under: uncultured bacterium
Lineage: Bacteria
Description: partial 16S rRNA
Rfam family: Bacterial small subunit ribosomal RNA
Source: RNAcentral